Molecule: long non-coding RNA, 953 nt
Filed under: Cucumis sativus (cucumber)
Lineage: Eukaryota; Viridiplantae; Streptophyta; Magnoliopsida; Cucurbitales; Cucurbitaceae
Description: long non-coding RNA (CSAT_LNC002597)
Source: RNAcentral
AGGAUAGGAGAUUUUGCAGCAGUGUUGGAACUAAAGUGGUUGCAACAGAUCAAAAUUAUGAUAACAGAUAUGAUUUUGUCCUCAGCAAGAAAGCAUUUUCUUCAAUGGCUUUAAAGAAUAAGACUAGCCAACUUCUGAAUCUUGGCACUGUUGAUGUGGAAUAUAAGAGGUGACCAUUUAACUAUUAUUGCCAUUGCUUUAUUACUAAAGUUCCUUUUCAUAUUUUUUUGGAUUUUGAAAUUAAACUAUGACACAUAUUGUCUCCCCGGCCUCUAAGUUUUACGUUAUGUGUUAUUUCUCACUUUUCUAUCACUCGUGUUUUCAAAAAAAUCAAACCAAGUUUUGAACUCUAAAAUAGUUUUCAAAGAUAUCGCUCACACUUUAAUUUCAUGAUCUUUUUUUAAUGCAUGAAUCAUAAAAAUGAUAUAUAUUAUGAUCACUUCCAUACCAAAAAUAUCAACUAACUUUGGUGAGUUUGAUAUGUUUUGGCACAGGAUACCAUGUGCAUACAAAAACAAGAAUUUGUUAGUGAGAGUGGAAGAAUGGAGCCAAAAGCCAUACUAUUUAGCCCUUAAAUUCCUUUACCAAGGUGGCCAAACAGAAAUAACAAGAGUUGAGAUAGCUGAAGUAAGUUUCAAAACUGAUCAACACAAAACCAAUAACACAUCAAACUUCAUUAAUUAAUAUAAAACUGAGUAAGAGCUAGUUUUGAUCAAAUAAAUGAAAUUGAGGUUUAUUGUUUAAUUUUUUGCAUGAAAUUUAAUAGGUUGGUUCCGAUGAUUGGGAAAGCAUGAAGAAAAAUUAUGGUGCAAUUUGGGAUAUAAACAAACAACUUGAAAGAGCAUUGCAAUUGAAGAUAGUUGUAACUUCGGAGAACAAAAGAAUUGAAAACUUAUAUUGGGCAGUUAAUGAUCUUCCUGAGGAUUGGGAAAAUGGAGAGAUUUAUGAUACUG